Spinacia oleracea (spinach) is the source of this 895-nucleotide long non-coding RNA. RefSeq lists it as uncharacterized. The transcript has 3 exons. The record is from RefSeq and is a predicted model, not a curated record. Lineage: Eukaryota; Viridiplantae; Streptophyta; Magnoliopsida; Caryophyllales; Amaranthaceae.
UCUAUAUUUUUUCAGUCUUCUUAGUUUCACCGGGAACGUUGCAUCUGACGCCUCUAUUGCAACGACAUUUGUUUAAAUUAUUCUUCCUCCCUUUUUUUUAGUGAUAAGUGAUAACCAAUUACAAAGGGGUUACCAAUUAUUCUUGUUUGUUAGAUUGAACUUACUUGCUGGUUGUUAAGAUUUUUUUCACCUCCCUCGUGAAUAUGCGACCAAUUUUGAUUUUGAUUUUGAUUUUGAUUUUGAUGAUAUUGAACUGGGUGGUGGUCAGUUUUGGCUGGAAAGUGGAAACAGACAUGGAGACUUAUCUGGUCAUGCAACAUUUCUUCCGUAAUCUCCAUGAUCGGCUCAGUUCAAGGCCUUUUCUUAGCCUAAUUGAGAAGAAGUGGCUUGCUUUUCAGAGAACAAUGGACAUCAGAAAAACUACGACCGAUGAUCCGAAACUCUUUUGAGCUGCGGCUGGUAAACAAGUCAUUUUAAAGAGUGCAGACAUGACUGAUAACAUGCAAAAAAGAAGCUAUCGACAUUGCCAUCGCUGGGUUCAAGAUGAAGAUUUAGUUUCUUUUGUGAAAAAAUGGCAGAAGGGUGGGGCUUUUCUAUUUGGCGGUUGUUGUAGAACUACGGAAAAGACGAUAAAUGACAUUUACCCAACUCUCUCAGAGCAUUCAGAAUCUCCGCGUUAACAAGUCAUUCACACUUUUGUCUUGUAAAUGACUAAUUAGGAAAUAUGAUCUAUGCUUGUGUACUGUUGUUGCCUUCAUUAAUUGAUACAAAUUUGUUUACUGAAGGGACCUUCUCAUUUUCUGUAACCUAUAAAUAAAGCAUUUGGAUAUCUGCACAAAGACGAGCUUUGCAUACAAAAAAAGCACAAGUACUCCGGUUUACAACCAUUAGCCGU